GACCUGUGUCUGCCCAGACUUACCUCAGUGAUGGAGUGUGACCUGAGAGUUCUAAGCUGAGGGGAAACUGAGGCUGAGAGAUGUCUGCUGCAAACACGUCUCCACCCACUAUGACCUGAGUGUGCCCCCGGGGCUCACUCUCCCCUGGCCUGCAGUGAUUUUUCUCUGGGUGUGCUGGAGAGUGGAGAUGGGAAAAGCUACAGUCUCUGAACCCAACUGAAACAGGCUGCCCUGCACUCUGGACAGACCGAUCCCUGGCAGUGGCAGGUGUAUGGAUCUGCAAGUGUGUGCAUGUACCUGAGCAUCCCACGGAGUGUGUGUGGGCUUGAGAGAAGGUACCCACCUUCUGUCAGCUAUCAGCUGACUUCACUUAAACAGCAGGGGAACAGAAGAGAGGAUGGGAAUGCUGGCUGGGACAUUCACAGACACCUUCCGAUCUGACAGGGACAGGAUGUUUGGUUUAGUUCUGAAGACUGGAGAGGGUAUAAACAGGAGAGCCGGAGGCAGCUGCCGCUCCCCCUGCUGCUGCUGCUUUUGCUGUUGCUGAAUUUCUGGUUGGAGCUAUCCUGAUGACAGAGAUUGGACUUGUCACCAAGGAACGGGACACCCCUAAUGAGCAGGACGUAGUCUAAAGAGGCCCCAGCUCAGCAUGGAACUGGACCAACUCCUGACGGACUACCCAGCACUGAGUCACAGCGGCAUCGUGCUGACCCAAGGGAGCCACAGAGUCCAACUACUGAAAAUACAAGCCAGUCCCUAGAGCCACCAGGUUCGGACUUCAAUGUAUACUUUGUGGGUUCAGUUCAACUCCACCACGCUUGUACAUGUAUGACUGGCUUCUGUCCCUGGACCAUUCCCCUUCUCCUUAAGUGAGGACUCUCUAGUAUGGUAAGUGUCUCUCAUCAACCAUCAACAGGCAAGGGGCUAGGCUCCAGGUAACAUCACGAUUCUUCCAUUCUAAGAGCCUUGUGCUGAUGCAGAAGCCUGAAUGGCCAAGAGCGGGAGGAGAGCAUCCCUCUAGGGGACAGCACUGCCCUGGGCUGGG
RNAcentral lists this long non-coding RNA (1045 nucleotides) under Mus musculus (house mouse). Its description in RNAcentral is "lincRNA-EC169". Lineage: Eukaryota; Metazoa; Chordata; Mammalia; Rodentia; Muridae. The record is from RNAcentral.